GUGGCAAGCUGCGAUAAGCCCCGGCGAGGCGCAGGCAGCCGUCGAACCGGGGAUGCCCGAAUGGGACCUCCUGCGGCUCUUGCCGCACUCCCAGUCGGGAGGGGGAACGCGGGGAAUUGAAACAUCUUAGUACCCGCAGAAA
RNAcentral lists this ribosomal RNA (142 nucleotides) under Thermococcus sp. AMT11. RNAcentral describes it as "partial 23S ribosomal RNA". It matches the Rfam family "Archaeal large subunit ribosomal RNA", at positions 58 to 199 of the family's 2987-position model. Lineage: Archaea; Methanobacteriati; Methanobacteriota; Thermococci; Thermococcales; Thermococcaceae. The record is from RNAcentral.